Molecule: non-coding RNA, 82 nt
Organism: Paraphysoderma sedebokerense
Lineage: Eukaryota; Fungi; Blastocladiomycota; Physodermatomycetes; Physodermatales; Physodermataceae
Source: the annotation of a GenBank genome assembly
GACAGCAUGUCCGAGUGGUUAAGGAGUAAGACUUGAAAUCUUAUGGGCUCUGCCCGCGCAGGUUCGAACCCUGCUGCUGUCG